Long non-coding RNA from Astatotilapia calliptera (eastern happy), 2981 nucleotides. Lineage: Eukaryota; Metazoa; Chordata; Actinopteri; Cichliformes; Cichlidae. The record is from Ensembl.
GCUACCUGGAAGCCACCUGCUACCUUAGCACUGAACGGCAGAAAAGAAAAGCACAUACACAGCCCCAGCCUUGUUCUUCCCCAGUUUAUCGUCUCAUCGUUUCUUAGCAUGUUUUGAGCUGUUGUUCCAGUUUCAUCGUGUGCAGGUUUGAUAAACACGGCUGAUUACGUUCCAGAGGCUGCACUGGUCGACCAGGAGAGGCUAUACUAACACCGACACCUGUCUCACAGAAAUGGACUAGAAAAAAAAUAUAAAAAAAAUAUAUUUUAAGUAGUCUAGAAGGACUAACGUCAUCUUUUAGAAACCUUUCUGUCACGCUUAUAUCUGCCUUCCCCCACCGCCCUCACCCCGGUUGUGCACAAUGCUUCCUUAGUAAGAGUAAAAGCGGAUUUUCCCACAUUUGAAGGAAUAAAAACCUUCACAGAGACGCAAGCUGUGCACGCUUUUAAUGUUAACAUCAAUGGCAGAAAGGAGAAAGGUGCCAGAGGACACAGAUCCAACAUAGUGAUCAUGCACGCUGGACAUGGAGGACUCCUCAGUAGCUGGCUUUGUGUAGCUUUGUUUAGCAAUGAAAUAUUUGUUGGCUGUAACCUCAAAUCAUGUCUUUUUUCUAUUUUUCAAUGUGUACAUACUGAAACUUUUAUUUAAUCGAUGGUUGGUGAUGUCUUUCCUCACAGUCGCCCUGUCAUAGAGCAGUCCACAUCGCAUGUAUUAUUUCAGCUAAAAUAUGAUCGCAUUUGUCAUUGGAGCACACUGCAGGGAAGCUUAAGGAGCAGCUUAAGUGGAAACUAUGGUGAAAUUCUCUUGUAGACGUUGAGUUUUCAGAGUUUGUAUUGAUUUGACGAGAUGAAAGAAACCAUCGCUCUUCAGCUAACUCGAGAAUCAGCCCGCAGGGCAAUCCUUCCAGUCAGAGCUAGCCCUUCCACUGUCACGUCUGCACUGCGGUGAUGCCACUGAGUAUCACAUUUUCUGAAUUUAAGUAACGAUUUAUUAUGAAGCAAGCCAUUUAUAUACGCUUAAUGGAGCCAUUAUAGUUGAAAGUCAUUAAUAACUCCUUGUCAGCGCCGUCUCUCCACGCCUUUUGUGAUAUGUAGGAGAAAUGUGUUUUAUAUGCAGACGUUUUCUUAAAGAACUAGACCGAAGGAUCGCGUUGUCAUAUGUUUGUGCCGUCUCCCUGCCUACCCGACACACUUUCCUCUGCUCAUCAACAGUGUCGUUAAGUGACCACUAGAUGGAAGCAUUUUAAACACAGCCUAGCAGCCACUUCUCACUCUGCAAAAGUUUGGGCAUGACAUCAUCUGAUUAGGAGGUGAACGAUAUUAAAGGAAACAGCUGGCAGCAGGCUCAGACGUGCUGCUGCGAGCGUGAGAAACAGAGGAAGCUCUGAAAGACAAGCCCAGAGUAUCAAAGUACAAAAGGAGGGUUGUUUAAACUGCUCCUUGGGCAGAUACCACCAUGACUUUUAUUUUUUAUUUUUUUGACGUGUAUUGAUCAUUUCUGAUGUUCGAGAAACUUCUCAUCAAGUAAGAGCCUUCAGGACCUCCUGCUCUCCAGCACGACUGCUGUCUCCGAACAGUCAAACAUGAGAUUUGAGAGUGAGAGAGAGUUGUGCUGCAGAAGGAGCACACCUCUCUCCCGUCUGGGGAGAACUGGAGAGCUGGAGUGGGCUCCUCUAAUCGCAGACUCUGGUAAUCCACUCCUGCUCUCCCUCCUCCACCCAGAUGAACUCUGACAGCGGGGCCAUUUACAGCUGCAGGCUUUCCUCUCGUCCAAGUGUGCCUCCAGAUUUUUUCUUUUCUUUUUUUUUGUGGGCAGGAGGGACGGGAGGAAGGCUCAAGGGUAUCUGUGAUCUAAUCAUUACACCAUCUCCUCACCUCAGCGACCCUGCUGCAUCCAUCUCUCUGUCGGCUCCCCUCUCUCUUGCUCUAUCUCACCGUGUCACUCCCCUCCUCUCUCUCCCACUCGCUCUUUACUGCUCUCUUUCCCCAUCUAUCUUUCAUCCAAUCUCCGUCUCCUCUGUUUCUCUCUGUAUUCCGUCCCUCAACCCGACGCUCUGUAGGCUGUGACCGCCGCUGUGUGUUGGUGGGAGGAGAAUCGGAGAUUCUGUAUUACGAGGAGGCAGAGAGGCUCAAUCGGAAAACAAGCCCAGCAAAAUGAGGACUAGUUUAAUUUUACCGCAAAUUAAUAGGCCGGGAGAAAUGAUGCCAGUUAGAGAAUGAAUUAGAAUUUACUCUCGCUAUUGUGAUCCCCUUGGUGUAUGCACAGAUUAUUUCCAUAUGCACAGGCACAUCCCACGUGGGAAAAUCAUUUUGACUGAAUUCAGGGCUGUGUUGUUGUAUUAACCUGAAACACAACUCAAAUAUGAAGAAAACAUGGAUUUUUUUUUUCUUCCUUCUGUUUUUUUUUUUUUUUUAGUCAGUACUUCCUGUGGACUAAAGUUUGCAUUGUCUGUGUUCAUGCUUUUGUUAUUUCAAUGAAGCCAAAGAUGUAUGCUGUACUUACUGUUAUGUCUCAUAACCACGGUACCCAACCGCUGUGGCCUAACUCUAAAACUGUGCAAUCCUGAGUGUGUAGCAUAUCCCUGUAUUGUUGCUGUACUAUACUGUAAAUGAUGUACAUAGCACAUAAUAAAGAUAUACAGUACACAGCUUCUUCUGAUGCACUUGUAUUUCAUGUCUUUUUUUAAUAGAUUUUUCUUAAUUUUGAGAGAUUGUAGUUUGAGUGUCAAGCCCUGGAGCUGAAACAACACAAAUGCCAAAAAUGUCAGUUCCUCAAAUGUCCACAUGAGGCUGACUCCAAACGUGAGUCAAAUCCAAUUGAUCCCCACUGUUAAAAUGCACAUUUUUACAGCACAAAUAAAGAUGUUUAAAGUCUGAUUAAAAAUAUAUUUUUAUAUCUAUUGCAUAUUUACACCAUGACAGCUUUAUAGGGGUUGAAUUUUUAUAUAUGUCACUCUAUAUUUAAUUUGAAUUAAAGUAUGC